GAUGAACGCUGGCGGCGUGCCUAAUACAUGCAAGUCGAGCGAAUGGAUUAAGAGCUUGCUCUUAUGAAGUUAGCGGCGGACGGGUGAGUAACACGUGGGUAACCUGCCCAUAAGACUGGGAUAACUCCGGGAAACCGGGGCUAAUACCGGAUAACAUUUUGAACCGCAGGGUUCGAAAUUGAAAGGCGGCUUCGGCUGUCACUUAUGGAUGGACCCGGGUCGCAUUAGCUAGUUGGUGAGGUAACGGCCCACCAAGGCAACGAUGCGUAGCCGACCUGAGAGGGUGAUCGGCCACACUGGGACUGAGACACGGCCCAGACUCCUACGGGAGGCAGCAGUAGGGAAUCUUCCGAAAUGGACGAAAGUCUGACGGAGCAACGCCGCGUGAGUGAUGAAGGCUUUCGGGUCGUAAAACUCUGUUGUUAGGGAAGAUCAAGUGCUAGUUGAAUAAGCUGGCACCUUGACGGUACCUAACCAGAAAGCCACGGCUAACUACGUGCCAGCCGCCGCGGUAA
Molecule: ribosomal RNA, 515 nt
Filed under: uncultured bacterium
Lineage: Bacteria
Description: partial 16S ribosomal RNA
Rfam family: Bacterial small subunit ribosomal RNA
Source: RNAcentral